This is a long non-coding RNA of Spinacia oleracea (spinach), 1230 nucleotides long. RefSeq lists it as uncharacterized. The transcript has 3 exons. Lineage: Eukaryota; Viridiplantae; Streptophyta; Magnoliopsida; Caryophyllales; Amaranthaceae. The record is from RefSeq and is a predicted model, not a curated record.
CCCUUGGACCCCAAGCAAACUUUUCAAUACAAAUAUACAAAUUGCAUUUCCAUUUCAGGAAAUUCAACAUCAGACAAUCAAAAACAAAUUCCGAUUUUCAAUUCUUCUCCUCCUCACUGCUUCGAACCAUCACCACCAUCAACGACCACUGCAACCACCAUCAACCACCAUCGUGACCACCUUGACCACCUCAUCCAACCACCCAGCCGCACCGUCGGGCUGUUUCAGUCAACCACCACCACCACACUCACCCCACCGUCCCCCCUGCUCCCUCUUUCCUGCCCGCAACUCCCCUACCCUCCUCUGCUUUCCAUUCUCUUUUCCCCCUCGCUGCGCCACCACCACCACCAUCUUAUCACCCCUCAAAUCCAUCUCCGCCCCACACUCCCCGGCGAGCCGCCGCUCCCAGAACCAGCCCGAAAACCUACACUCAAACUCCCCUGUUUCGUCUCCUCUGCUCGCCCCUUUCCCCUCUUCAUCGUUAAUCAUGCUGCCGUGAACCACCCUCACCGUCGCAUUACCGGCGCUUGCUUGCGCCGCCAUUCCACCCAGGUGUCGGCCACCUUCAGCCGACCACCACCCCACAACCCUCGCCUUUCCCUCCUUUGCUCGACCACCCUCUCCCCUUCCGUGAUGUUCCGCGCCGCCACAAACAACCACCAACAUCAUCGUCACCUCUGGUCGCAGUUCCGGGCGGCACCGAGCCACCCAGACCCCAGCCUCCUUCCUCCCUCCUCUCUCCCUCCUCUUCGUCCGUUUCCCCUGUUCUUGGUGCCCUGCUUCGUGCCCAGCUUCCCAAAGAAACGAGUUCCAGUUUAUUGGAACUUUGUACCCUUUUCUUUUUUUUACUCAAAUUAAAGCCCAAAUGUGUUAGGCCCAAAAUCCCAAAAAAUCGGACUUGGAGCUCAGGAAGAACGAUCCAUCAGACGGGAAGUAUAAAACGACAGUUGAGGUACUGCGGGGAUCGAUGGAAACGAGUAGAGGCGAGGAAUUUCACUUUAAUAAAAUUCACCUAGUUUAUGCUUAAAGUUAUAAUAGUUUAAUUAAAGACUUUUAGUAAGUUAUGUACUUUUAUUUUGAGAAUAUAGAGGAUUAUUAUAUUAUAUUGGAGGUUUUUAUGGCUUAUGUAUGAUGUUUCCUUGUAAUUUCCAAGACGGAAUUACGGCAGGUAAUGUCCCGACCAAAUUAGGUUAAUUCCGCUGCUUAUUAUGCUUUAAUAAGUGAUUUAGA